Molecule: long non-coding RNA, 3531 nt
Organism: Aegilops tauschii subsp. strangulata
Lineage: Eukaryota; Viridiplantae; Streptophyta; Magnoliopsida; Poales; Poaceae
Source: RefSeq, a predicted model, not a curated record
AUUUAGGAACGGAGGGAGUACAAAUGACCGAACGUGUAUGUCCAAGAUUAACCUAGGAUAAUUUGUGCCUUCUAGGAGCUCGAAGAAAUGCCCAUGUCCCAAGAGAGAAAGCAAUCCUGCAUGAAUUAUGUAUGUAUGGAGGUUUAACAAUAGGUUUGUUGUUAUGCAGUUUUUUUGGGGGUCCAUGGCUCUAGAGAUGUUCAUUUCUUGUGAAAAGUACUUGCCUAUAUAUGUGUAUCGGCUUUGAUGUGCACAAAUAAAAAAAUAAGAUUAGUUUACUGGGAGGCUAUUCAAUUAUGCUCCAUGUUUUAUUUGGCUGUUAUUUAAAGCAAUUGCUACUAUAUGGUGAUGUAGUACAAACCAAUGUUUUAAAUAGCGGGCUAUGCGAUUUAGCGGCUGCUCGGCCAGAAGUUAUGAAAAGCUAUAGCGGAGCUAUAACGAAGCUAAGCCCCAUUUAGCGUUUUUCAUAAAUCAUGAACAAUUGAGAAAAUAAGUAUAGAAAAAGACAUCAUAUAUAAUAUAUCACAUAUACUUAACAUAUAAAUAUGUUCGUACAUCAAAAUCCGAGCACCAAUCAGGUGUCUCAAUUAAAUAACCAAGCUUCGUACGAGUGCAUCAUAUAUAUCAGAAACAAGAACAAAAAAUAAUGCAGAAGGUUGGAUUUGUAUAGUGGCUUAGCGGGCUGAAUGGCUCCAAAUUUAGUGCUAUAGCGGGAAAUAGCGGGCUAUUAUCGUCAUUUUCAGUUUGGCGUUAAAAGUGCAUAGCUUCAGCGGGAGAGCUCUGAAAGGCUAUAACGGGGCUAUAGCUCCGCUAUAGCCGGCUAUUUAAAAUUUUGGUACAAACCUUGAGUAAUUGCAUAUUUUGUAGUUGAGUUUCAAUACUGAAGCUUAUGCCAAACCAGGUUCUGCCUGUUCUGAUGCUUAAUUGGUGAUUGACAGUCUUGGGCUUGGCGCCCAGGGUUAAAACUUGUUUUGGUUUCAUUCUAUACACAUCAAAAAAAAAAUUUAACAGAAGUAUUCUCUUGCUCAAGUGGUUUUUUAUAUUGAAUCAGUGUUACCUUUUUAGGAAGAUGGAGUGACAUUGAUGUUGAUACUCAGCUCCAGCAGCUAAAGUGAAAUCAAGCAUGCUCUGCUGAUACACAGAGCACAAGACAUGGACUUUAGUUCCUGGAACUGGCAAUCAGAGGGUAUCCGAGUGUACAUGAUGCCCCUGGGUGGGUGUCGGCGCGAGCUGGUGUGGUCCCGUCGUGGCUAUGUAGAUGGGGAGGCGGGGUGGAGGCUGGGACUGCAUCGAGAAAAAACAUAAAGAGCAAGACGGCAUGGUCAUGUGUGUGGCCUCGGCACAGCGUUGUACUGUGGCAUGGCUGUGUGUGUGACCUCGGUGCAGGGACAAAGAGUAGUCUUCGGAGCAGGGCAGCGGCACACACAAAUGAGCGGUGGCCCUCGAGGCUUGGGGGUUAAGCAGGUGCGCGAGUGGUACGCAUCUGAUUGUCACCGUCAGGUUCAUAGCGAUCCGUCAAAUUCGCUGUCAUUUGUUUUUACUUUACAAAAUCAUAUAUUCAUGGUUUAUCUCUUUUUAAGGAUCUCGUGGAAGUGGAGAGAGAAGCAUCAUGCUCAUGAAUUUGAAAACUGAUUUUGAGUUUGAACAAAGAAAAUUUACCAAAGAAGACAUCAAAGAAAUUAUAUUUAGGGAGAUACUGGAAUACCUCCCUCAACUUCUCAAGGAUUACAUGCACGGAUCUGAAAAUACUAACUGGCUAUGUCCUAUGUUUCUACCUUGACAUAUCUUGUAACUUUUUGCCUCCUAUUUUGCAUAUGCAGCAAUAUUCAUAGCUUAUGCCCUUGAAUCAGUAUUUGCCACUACUGACAAUUUGCAGAGGCAAUCUGCUCAGAGGAAGAUGGUGGAAAGAGCGGGCGAGUCGAGAGAAAGCUUUUUUUUUCUCCCAAGGUAAUUAACACUAUCAUAGUUCCAUCGAUUGUGAUUUGUUAUAUACACACCCAGACCACCCCACACCGCCACCAUGGUACACGGACCCGCUCACCGGCGAAGAGCAAAAGGCUCCUCCUUUUACCAUAAAACAUGCCCCUGGGUAGGAAGGUGGCCUAGCCGGCCACAAGCAAAAAUGGGAAGGUCGCUUGCAGACACCGGCCUCGCGGCAGCCACCACACCGCACCACCUGGGAUAAAGGUCACCGUCACACCCACCUAGCAACUCCAGUUUUCGGUGACGGUAAGGCCGGGAGGCCUCCUACAUCCCUUCCCGGAUCGCCCCUACUCCCAUGUGCCGGCCAUCCACGCACCCCCGCGCUGGACCUCCGUCACCAACAAAACAGGGGCAGUUACCGGCCUAUGCUCCAGGGACACAAGCAGAAGCACGGGAGGUCCUCCACCACCACUAGUAGAAAAAGGACUUUACGUGAGCCCCAUUAGUCCCGGUUUGAAAACGGACCAGCACUAAUGCCACCGCUAGUGCCGGUUCCAACGGCUAGUGGGGCGGCACUCUUUAGUCCCGGUUCGUUUUGAACCUAUAGUACCGGUUCGUGACACGAACCGGGACUAAAGGGGUGGUGGCAGGCCUAUGUCAGGCUGGGGCCCCACGAGCACCUUUAGUAUCGGUUCGUGUCACGAACCGGUACUAGAUAUGCAUCUUUAGUCGCGGUUGAUUAUACCAACCGGGACUAAAGAAGACCCUAUAUAAACCCUUCGUCCAGCCCGAGCCAUCUCUCUCUGUUUUCCCCUUUCCUCUCCUCUGUUCUUGCCCUUGCUCGAGCUCAUCCUCCAUUUUUGCCAAAAUUUGACAAGAUUUGGAGGCACCCCAUCCAUCCAAGUGUUCACAAAGGUUAGCAACUUUGUCCUUUCAUCUCUCAUUGCUAGAUUACCUCUUGCAUUGCUCUAUAAGCUAGUGAUUUGUGGGUUUUAGUUUGGGAUAUGCAUGUGGUAGUUUAUUUGAUUUAUAUGCAAUUUGAGCUCAAAUUAACUUCUUAGUUUGCAUGUGUAGGUGUGGUUAACUUAGUGCCUUCCCGUCCCGUCCUAACCACUGUCGAUCGCCCGCACCGUCUCGUCGCCGGCACCACCUUGGUAGAUAAUUAACCAUCGUAAAGUAGCAAUGACAGAAGAGGUGGACUUCAAUUUCUUUUUUUUUUUGCGGGGGGGACUUCAAUGUCAAUGACUUGGUCACACAGAGAGCAGGUAGCUUUAAGUCUGUCAGCAGUUGGCCGUCAGUUUUGGGAAAGAAGCCAUAUGAAAAAACUGUAUUUCCCCUCAGUUUUGAUGCGCCAUAUUGAGUUCAGGUCUGGCCGCUCGUUGGAUCCAAUGAAGCGGUAGAGUAUGUUUUCGUCGCAUUCCAAUUAAAAUGAUUUCAUCUCAUUUCUUUGUGGAGCAAAAUUCGGUAGAUGUACAUUCAUUUGAAAUCGACUUCAAACUCCAUGUGGUCUUUGAUGUAAGAAGGUCACAAAGAAACACACUUUCAUCUUAAAAUUUGAUAUGGUGAACAACCGAUUCAUUUAUUACACCCAACACUUGCAAAAUGCAA